UGAGACAUUUCUCUUUGCUUAUAUUCGGUC
Molecule: non-coding RNA, 30 nt
Filed under: Mus musculus (house mouse)
Lineage: Eukaryota; Metazoa; Chordata; Mammalia; Rodentia; Muridae
Source: RNAcentral